CGAAGGGUGCAAGCGUUAUCCGGAUUCAUGGGUUUAAAGGGUGCGUAGCGGGGUGGUAAGUCAGUGGUGAAAUCCUGCAGCUUAACUGUAGAAUUGCCAUUGAUACUGCCAUUCUUGAGUACGCUGGAUGUGGGCGGAAUGUGCCGUGUAGCGGUGAAAUGCUUAGAUAUGGCACAGAACACCGAUAGCGAAGGCAGCUCACAACGGCGAAACUGACGCUGAGGCACGAAAGCGUGGGGAUCGAACAGGAUUAGAUACCCUGGUAGUCCACGCCGUAAACGAUGAUCACUCGUCAUUGGCGAUACACUGUCAGUGACCUAGCGAAAGCGUUAAGUGAUCCACCUGGGGAGUACGGCCGCAAGGCUG
This 366-nucleotide ribosomal RNA is filed under the name uncultured organism. RNAcentral's name for it is "bacterial SSU rRNA". It matches the Rfam family "Bacterial small subunit ribosomal RNA", at positions 526 to 896 of the family's 1533-position model. The record is from RNAcentral.